Molecule: ribosomal RNA, 1337 nt
Filed under: Lacticaseibacillus rhamnosus
Lineage: Bacteria; Bacillati; Bacillota; Bacilli; Lactobacillales; Lactobacillaceae
Description: bacterial SSU rRNA
Rfam family: Bacterial small subunit ribosomal RNA
Source: RNAcentral
GUAACACGUGGGUAACCUGCCCUUAAGUGGGGGAUAACAUUUGGAAACAGAUGCUAAUACCGCAUAAAUCCAAGAACCGCAUGGUUCUUGGCUGAAAGAUGGCGUAAGCUAUCGCUUUUGGAUGGACCCGCGGCGUAUUAGCUAGUUGGUGAGGUAACGGCUCACCAAGGCAAUGAUACGUAGCCGAACUGAGAGGUUGAUCGGCCACAUUGGGACUGAGACACGGCCCAAACUCCUACGGGAGGCAGCAGUAGGGAAUCUUCCACAAUGGACGCAAGUCUGAUGGAGCAACGCCGCGUGAGUGAAGAAGGCUUUCGGGUCGUAAAACUCUGUUGUUGGAGAAGAAUGGUCGGCAGAGUAACUGUUGUCGGCGUGACGGUAUCCAACCAGAAAGCCACGGCUAACUACGUGCCAGCAGCCGCGGUAAUACGUAGGUGGCAAGCGUUAUCCGGAUUUAUUGGGCGUAAAGCGAGCGCAGGCGGUUUUUUAAGUCUGAUGUGAAAGCCCUCGGCUUAACCGAGGAAGUGCAUCGGAAACUGGGAAACUUGAGUGCAGAAGAGGACAGUGGAACUCCAUGUGUAGCGGUGAAAUGCGUAGAUAUAUGGAAGAACACCAGUGGCGAAGGCGGCUGUCUGGUCUGUAACUGACGCUGAGGCUCGAAAGCAUGGGUAGCGAACAGGAUUAGAUACCCUGGUAGUCCAUGCCGUAAACGAUGAAUGCUAGGUGUUGGAGGGUUUCCGCCCUUCAGUGCCGCAGCUAACGCAUUAAGCAUUCCGCCUGGGGAGUACGACCGCAAGGUUGAAACUCAAAGGAAUUGACGGGGGCCCGCACAAGCGGUGGAGCAUGUGGUUUAAUUCGAAGCAACGCGAAGAACCUUACCAGGUCUUGACAUCUUUUGAUCACCUGAGAGAUCAGGUUUCCCCUUCGGGGGCAAAAUGACAGGUGGUGCAUGGUUGUCGUCAGCUCGUGUCGUGAGAUGUUGGGUUAAGUCCCGCAACGAGCGCAACCCUUAUGACUAGUUGCCAGCAUUUAGUUGGGCACUCUAGUAAGACUGCCGGUGACAAACCGGAGGAAGGUGGGGAUGACGUCAAAUCAUCAUGCCCCUUAUGACCUGGGCUACACACGUGCUACAAUGGAUGGUACAACGAGUUGCGAGACCGCGAGGUCAAGCUAAUCUCUUAAAGCCAUUCUCAGUUCGGACUGUAGGCUGCAACUCGCCUACACGAAGUCGGAAUCGCUAGUAAUCGCGGAUCAGCACGCCGCGGUGAAUACGUUCCCGGGCCUUGUACACACCGCCCGUCACACCAUGAGAGUUUGUAACACCCGAAGCCGGUGGC